Molecule: ribosomal RNA, 484 nt
Filed under: uncultured bacterium
Lineage: Bacteria
Description: partial 16S ribosomal RNA
Rfam family: Bacterial small subunit ribosomal RNA
Source: RNAcentral
AUUGAACGCUGGCGGCAGGCCUAACACAUGCAAGUCGAGCGGAUGAAGGGAGCUUGCUCCUGGAUUCAGCGGCGGACGGGUGAGUAAUGCCUAGGAAUCUGCCUGGUAGUGGGGGAUAACGUCCGGAAACGGGCGCUAAUACCGCAUACGUCCUGAGGGAGAAAGUGGGGGAUCUUCGGACCUCUCGCUAUCAGAUGAGCCUAGGUCGGAGUAGCUAGUCGGUGGGGUAAAGGCCUACCAAGGCGACGAUCCGUAACUGGUCUGAGAGGAUGAUCAGUCACACUGGAACUGAGACACGGUCCAGACUCCUACGGGAGGCAGCAGUGGGGAAUCUUGGACAAUGGGCGAAAGCCUGAUCCAGCCAUGCCGCGUGUGUGAAGAAGGUCUUCGGAUUGUAAAGCACUUUAAGUUGGGAGGAAGGGCAGUAAGUUAAUACCUUGCUGUUUUGACGUUACCAACAGAAUAAGCACCGGCUAACUUCGUG